RNAcentral lists this unclassified non-coding RNA (1634 nucleotides) under Bombus terrestris (buff-tailed bumblebee). RNAcentral describes it as "misc RNA ENSBTSG00005032077.1". The record is from RNAcentral. Lineage: Eukaryota; Metazoa; Arthropoda; Insecta; Hymenoptera; Apidae.
GUGUCAAGGAUCCUAGCCUAGCCUUUUCUUUCAAAGCGAUCGAGAAGAAUUGGGAAGGACAUGCAACAGGAAAAUGAAACAUCGUAAUUGUUAAAGUUAAAGCAACGUUACACGCUGUUCCUUACGAUCGGUCAAUGUUCGAGCCCACUCGCGCGACCUACUUGAUCCCAUCGCUGGGUUGCGGGGUUAAACGGUGGACGCGCGUUCUUCUCUUCUCGAGCACUUAUCGAGUACAACGCCUUCGUUGGCGGAAAUUCCUUGGCUCGUUAAAAGCCACGACGCAACAGAAUUGCGGCUAAUCCGCGAGAUCGGCCAAAGAGUACCGCGUUGGUUGGCGCGAGCACGAUCGUAUCGUCGUCUCUGCUGGAACUGCGGGUGCAUGCGACUGCGUCACGACACCAGCUCACGCUGGAAAAAACUUCGGCGUGGCCGCGCAACGACAGCUUAAUCCUUGUCACGACGAGAAAAGAAAAGCGCUGGCCAAGCUAGAUCAAGCCACGUUGCAAGUAACAUUUUCAUCAAGCUUUUACAGUCGGUCGUUGCAUAUUGUAUUACUUUUCCCAUUCUCGUUUGAAAACCGGCCAGACAACAGGGACACGCUAUUCCGCGGCAAAAAACACGGCAGCGGCCAAUGAGAGACGCUACGUACGGGUUUAGAGACAACAGAGAAGCUAUUUCCGCGUGAAAAAAGAAGACAUCAUUGACGAGAUUAAAAAGUAUAAAUGUCGAGUAUCGAACAAGCGUAUUCUUUUUUUACGCUCGUCCACCGGCCUGGUCAAGAAUUUUAAUCUUCCUUGUUCGAUAACCAAAGAUAUAUAUAUAUACGGAGGAAAAUGAGUUAGUCGAAACGAGGAUGAAACAAUCAUCGUACGUGUUUAAUCGAGUUAAGAAGCGGGCAGAGGAGGACGUGUCUUCUCUGCGAGUUUCUAAAGAUAGAUUCCUUUCAUUGACUUAGCUUUCGGUACGUGGGUAUACAAGCGCGAGGCACGUUCUGCGAAAAUUUGAUUAGGAAAUAACGAAAGUUAAACGAAGAAUUCGGGAUGAACGAUUUAUAUUCGAUUUCUCACGUUGCUGGUAUCGAUCGAUGAAGAUAUUAGCUUGUCCGAGAAGUUUCUUUCGUUUCGUUAGUGAAAUAAUAGAUGCACAACAUUUUUUCUUUUAUAUCAUUUUAUGGAUUUAUGUACGAUCCGUUUCGUGAUCCACAUCUACCUCUUCCUUAUCGAACGAAAGGAACUUUCGGGACAACCUAAUGCUUGCAACUUUUUAUCGAUAAUACACACAUAUUGCUAAUCAAAUCGUAGUUGCGUGUAUGCGCAGCUAGAAUUAAAUUUUGAUAAAUUUGAAACGCGAAGUUUAUGCUCGAUGGCUUGAAAAUUGAUCAAUUUUAAACGCAAAACUUGAAACGCAAUUCUCUCGAAACGUGACUUUUCGCAACUAUCGGCACAAUAAUUUCCUCACAGCUUUCGGUAAUUCUUUACGAGAUAUUUUUUCCACGUUUUUUCAAUUUUUCAGGCUCAAUUUCGUCGUGAUUACGUACGAAUACCGUCGUAACGAUAUAGGUGGAUAUUUCCGGGUAAAAGUCCUGUCGUGGAAAAAUAGGAGAACCCGACGUCGCGGCUUUUUCGUUUCUCUUC